GACGAACGCUGGCGGCGUGCUUAACACAUGCAAGUCGAACGGAAAGGCCCUGCUUUUGUGGGGUGCUCGAGUGGCGAACGGGUGAGUAACACGUGAGUAACCUGCCCUUGACUUUGGGAUAACUUCAGGAAACUGGGGCUAAUACCGGAUAGGAGCUCCUGCUGCAUGGUGGGGGUUGGAACGUUUCGGCGGUUGGGGAUGGACUCGCGGCUUAUCAGCUUGUUGGUGGGGUAGUGGCUUACCAAGGCUUUGACGGGUAGCCGGCCUGAGAGGGUGACCGGCCACAUUGGGACUGAGAUACGGCCCAGACCCCUACGGGAGGCAGCAGUGGGGAAUAUUGCACAAUGGGCGGAAGCCUGAUGCAGCAACGCCGCGUGCGGGAUGACGGCCUUCGGGUUGUAAACCGCUUUCGCCUGUGACGAAGCGUGAGUGACGGUAAUGGGUAAAGAAGCACCGGCUAACUACGUG
Molecule: ribosomal RNA, 468 nt
Filed under: uncultured bacterium
Lineage: Bacteria
Description: partial 16S ribosomal RNA
Rfam family: Bacterial small subunit ribosomal RNA
Source: RNAcentral